AAGAUUUUAAGUUAAUUAAACUAGUAGCCUUCAAAGUUAUAAAUAAGAGUUCAAUCUUUUAAAUCUUA
This 68-nucleotide transfer RNA is filed under the name Stenopus scutellatus. RNAcentral's name for it is "tRNA-Trp". It matches the Rfam family "tRNA". Rfam says of the family: Transfer RNA (tRNA) molecules are approximately 80 nucleotides in length. Their secondary structure includes four short double-helical elements and three loops (D, anti-codon, and T loops). The record is from RNAcentral. Lineage: Eukaryota; Metazoa; Arthropoda; Malacostraca; Decapoda; Stenopodidae.